CAGCCGCCGCGGGAAUACAGAGGGUGCGAGCGUUAAUCGGAUUUACUGGGCGUAAAGCGUGCGUAGGCGGCUUCUUAAGUCGGAUGUGAAAUCCCUGAGCUUAACUUAGGAAUUGCAUUCGAUACUGGGAAGCUAGAGUAUGGGAGAGGAUGGUAGAAUUCCAGGUGUAGCGGUGAAAUGCGUAGAGAUCUGGAGGAAUACCGAUGGCGAAGGCAGCCAUCUGGCCUAAUACUGACGCUGAGGUACAAAAGCAUGGGGAGCAAACAGGAUUAGAGACCCCUGUAGUCCCUGUCUCUUAUAC
This 301-nucleotide ribosomal RNA is filed under the name uncultured bacterium. RNAcentral describes it as "partial 16S ribosomal RNA". It matches the Rfam family "Bacterial small subunit ribosomal RNA", at positions 509 to 807 of the family's 1533-position model. The record is from RNAcentral.